RNAcentral lists this ribosomal RNA (254 nucleotides) under uncultured microorganism. RNAcentral's name for it is "partial 16S ribosomal RNA". It matches the Rfam family "Archaeal small subunit ribosomal RNA", at positions 474 to 727 of the family's 1478-position model. The record is from RNAcentral.
CACCGGCGGCCCGAGUGGCGGUCCCUAUUAUUUGGUCUAAAGCGUCCGUAGCCGGCUUGGCAAGUCCCCUGGGAAAUCUGGCGGCUUAACCGUCAGGCGUCCAGAGGAUACUGCCAGGCUUGGGACCGGGAGAGGUGAGAGGUACCUCAGGGGUAGGGGUGAAAUCUUGUGAUCCCUGAGGGACCACCAGUGGCGAAGGCGUCUCACUAGAACGGGUCCGACGGUCAGGGACGAAAGCUGGGGGCACGAACCGG